Molecule: ribosomal RNA, 208 nt
Filed under: Clostridioides difficile
Lineage: Bacteria; Bacillati; Bacillota; Clostridia; Peptostreptococcales; Peptostreptococcaceae
Description: partial 16S ribosomal RNA
Rfam family: Bacterial small subunit ribosomal RNA
Source: RNAcentral
AGCGUGGGGAGCAAACAGGAUUAGAUACCCUGGUAGUCCACGCUGUAAACGAUGAGUACUAGGUGUCGGGGGUUACCCCCCUCGGUGCCGCAGCUAACGCAUUAAGUACUCCGCCUGGGAAGUACGCCCGCAAGAGUGUAACUCAAAGGAAUUUACGGGGACCCGCACCAGUAGCGGAGCAUGUGGUUUAAUUCGCAGCAACGCGAAG